Molecule: non-coding RNA, 109 nt
Organism: Chelonoidis abingdonii (Abingdon island giant tortoise)
Lineage: Eukaryota; Metazoa; Chordata; Testudines; Testudinidae
Source: RefSeq, a predicted model, not a curated record
ACCGUGGAUACACCACUGGAUCGUUCUGCCCUGCCAUGACAAAGGAGUGUUGCUACUGAGCUUACCACAACAGACUAUACCAGAUAACCACCCAAAAGAUCUGAGUGAG